This 2698-nucleotide long non-coding RNA is filed under the name Homo sapiens (human). RNAcentral describes it as "PREDICTED lncRNA (TCONS_00236006)". The record is from RNAcentral. Lineage: Eukaryota; Metazoa; Chordata; Mammalia; Primates; Hominidae.
CAGGCACGUCUGAAUCCGGAGCUGGGGUUCUUACCCACUCCAGUGACUGCCUCUCAGAAAAGAACAGGGCAAUGUCCAUUCUCCUUUUAUUUUCUUUAAGCACCUGAUCAUUCUAAAAGCAUGUGUUCCUCCGUGUGUGUGAGUUGUGUACACGUGUGUGUGUGUUCCUUUCUUUUCUCGGACUCCAGGCUCAUGACUGCUUAUUUGCAUGGUGUUUUGGUGUCAAAGGAGUGUUGAAUGUGUUCUCCACACACCCAGCUUUAUUCCACUCUAGGAGUUUAACUUCUUCAGCAUUGUUAUGAGGUCCCCGGUGACCUCAGUUUCUCCUCUCCGCGUCAUCCAGGACUUCACCUGAAGCUUGAGCUACACGUAAGACUUCAUCUACCUUGCACAGGGCAAUGGAGAGAGGAUGGCAUACCAGAAUCACCAGAUGACAGACAUCGGGGUGCUGUCGGACCCGGGAAUCAGAACCUCUGCAGAUAGAUAUUUUGGAAGGCGCUCCCUAGAUUGGCACCUCUGAUUCCUGCAAGUAGACUGACAGCUGCAUGUUUGCAGGAAAGUUAAAUAUUUUGACAGCGCAGAAGACUGCUGCAUCUGGAGGGUUCUGGGUCCAGCUAUAACCAGACUUGCCUGUCCUAAACAAAUGGAUUGACUGCUUCCGGCAUCCUCACUUUACUUCUGCAUGGUGACCAACAUCCGGAGCUUAAUUACCUGACAGCCAGGAGGUAGGGGGCAAAGGAAACCUUUUAAUUUAUAGUAAGAAGUGAUCAGUUCCUUUUUUGGGUCUUAGUUAGAAUCCAGGUGCACUUGAAACAAUAAAACCUUGUAUAUAGUUUUCUCCUAUAAGAAACUUCUCAGAUAUUUACCAAAAUCCUGGAAAAAUAUAUAUUGGUCAAUAUACCACAAUUCCCACAAGAGGUAAAUAUUUACAAAAUCUACUUUGGGCGGUGAUGCUGCAAGAAUAUUAAAAGGCGUUGACUUUAUCGUCAAGUGAAUUAUUUCUUAAUUUUUUAAAAUUUAAAUCACAGUAUAUUUGACAAGCUACAGCAGUAGGAAAACACCUUUGCUUUAAACAAAACUACCUUUUCUCAGCAAGAACAGUUACUAGAGUGGGAAAUAAGGUUAAUUUCAGUUUUAUUAAUAAUAUCUGAAAUGAAAUAAUGUUACAACUCUCCCCUCUAACCUCGUUGCUAGACAACUUAGAAUAUUUAUUUAUUUCUCCUUCAGAGAAAAUAAGAGUGGAUGUUACCUUUAAGCAACAUACACAUUUAAUUAAUGAACACAAGGAAAAUGAUUCCGGUUGUAGUUAAAUCGGGUACAAGCAUAUAGGAUUUAAGAGAUCUGACCUUAGAAAUGAAGAAAAUAUUAUUGUAAUUACUCCAUUUGCUAAAAACAAAUGAUGUGGCAUUUGAAUUUAAGACUUCUAUCAAAAGCAGUUGAGUGUCUGUAAUCAGUUCUCACCUUUACAUUUUAAUGGAGUUGAGGUUGAGCCGUUGCAUUUACAAUUAUCUAGGCUGACUUCAUGCCUUUGAAAUGACUUAAAAAGAUUAGCAUUCAUGGAUUAUUUAUUAGCUCCUCGUGAACGUAUUUCCAAGAAUGGAAACAACGUAUUGCAUCAAAGUCUAGUUUCCAAGUUUAACUCUUUUAAUGAACAGCAUGACUGUACGAUGCUGCAAAAGGCAUCUCUGAAGUCACAGGACAUUUUGUCAUGCUUUUCCCUUCAAGUGCAUCUUUAGUAGCAGUCUUUGUUCCUUGCAAGCUCAGGGAGAAUGUUGAUUCCAGCCCUGGCAGCUGCCCGAGAUGCCCUGUAAACACUACGGCUAGCAGAAAGCAGGCUGCUCAGGGGGGCAAGGCAGCUGAUCCCAGCCUGCUGUAGCUAUCACUGAUAGGGAAUGCCUGUCUGGGGCUCGGCAGAGAACUCAGUGACAUGAUGGCCCUGGCAGUUUAACCCAAACACACUUUUCUGCCUAGAUAACAAAAAUGUCAUGCCUGAGUCCCUGAUAGCAACCCCAGAGGAGCUCCAGGUUUGAGGCAGCGCUGGCAGGACGUGGUCUAUCUGCCAUCUGAAGCCCUUCAUUGCCCGCCUGGCUGUGAAUCUCACCUCCUCUGUAGUGGAAAACAGGCUGAACAGAACUGGCAGGCAGGUAAGGGACAGCAAACCUUGCAGGGAGGGCCUAGUGCUGAAGCUAAGCCAGCCCUUUGAGUUCAAGCUCAAAGACAUGUGAUGCCAGCUUUGCAGGGGAGCUAAGAUUCUUCCGAGAAAAAGCAGAAUGAGAGAGAGAUAUGCAGCUGCAGUGGAGGACUUGGAAGAGAACAACGCCAGGUCCUGGAUCCUGCAAGAAUCUCCUCUGGAAAAGCAGGGGAGAGAAAAGCAAGGAAGGAAGCAGGGUCACCGCAAGUGUGGGAUUUGUCUUAUUAAAAUCUGAUACUGUGUGGCAGUUUGCUUCACUCUUGGUAUAAAAUGUCUGAGCUCCAUGUUAAAGUAAAUGUAAGUAAUAUAAAUCUGCCUUUCCUGAGGUGAAAAUAGAUCCAUAUUAUUUAAAAUAUGAACUGAGAUAGAUGACAGUUACAAACAUUAUACUUGUUCUUAUUAUAAUUCUUACUAAGCUCAAGGAAUAAAAACUGGGAUGAUGAAAAAGAAGUUCUGAAUGUAAAAAUUGGUGUUUUGGAUAAAAUACAAACCAACCCAGAAAUGAUG